Molecule: ribosomal RNA, 253 nt
Filed under: uncultured bacterium
Lineage: Bacteria
Description: partial 16S ribosomal RNA
Rfam family: Bacterial small subunit ribosomal RNA
Source: RNAcentral
UACGUAGGGUGCGAGCGUUAAUCGGAAUUACUGGGCGUACAGCGUGCGCAGGCGGUGAUGUAAGACAGAUGUGAAAUCCCCGGGCUCAACCUGGGAACUGCAUUUGUGACUGCAUCGCUGGAGUGCGGCAGAGGGGGAUGGAAUUCCGCGUGUAGCAGUGAAAUGCGUAGAUAUGCGGAGGAACACCGAUGGCGAAGGCAAUCCCCUGGGCCUGCACUGACGCUCAUGCACGAAAGCGUGGGGAGCAAACAGG